GAUUCUCAACCUCAACGAAACUCCUUUCCGAAUUAUACAUCUAGAAUUUUGCCAGCUGUAGGAGCAUUUACUGUGCAGUGUGCUAACUGCUUCAAGUGGAGGCUCAUACCUACAAAGGAGAAGUAUGAAGAGAUAAGGGAACAUAUAUUGGAACAGCCUUUCUACUGUGAAACAGCCCGUGAAUGGCGUGCUGGAGUAUCAUGUGAUGAUCCACCUGAUCUUACUCAAGAUGGAAGUAGGCUCUGGGCUAUUGAUAAGCCUAAUAUUGCUCAGCCCCCUCCUGGGUGGGAACGCCUUUUAAGAAUACGAGGUGAAGGAGGCACCAGGUUUGCUGAUGUGUAUGUGUCUUGCAUUCCUUCCCUCCUCCUUUUGCCGUUAGUAGGUCUUAAAAAGUGUAUAUGAUUCUUCCCUUUUAAGCUAGGACAAAUACAGCCUAAUUAAUAUUUUUAAUUGCUUCAAGUGGAGGCUCAUACCUACAAAGGAGAAGUAUGAAGAGAUUAGGGAACACAUAUUGGAACAGCCUUUCUACUGUGAAUCAGCCCGUGAAUGGCGUGCUGGGGUAUCAUGUGAAGAUCCACCUGAUCUUACUCAAGAUGGAAGUAGGCUCUGGGCUAUUGAUAAGCCUAAUAUUGCUCAGCCCCCUCCUGGGUGGGAACGCCUUUUAAGAAUCCGAGGUGAAGGAGGCACCAGGUUUGCUGAUGUGUAUGUGUCUUGCAUUCCUUCCCUCCUCCUUUUGCCGUUAGUAGGUCUUAAAAAGUGAAUAUAUGAUUCUUCCCUUUUAAGCUUGAACAAAUACAGCCUAAUUAACAUUUCUC
RNAcentral lists this long non-coding RNA (815 nucleotides) under Nicotiana benthamiana. Its description in RNAcentral is "long non-coding RNA (NBEN_LNC032349)". Lineage: Eukaryota; Viridiplantae; Streptophyta; Magnoliopsida; Solanales; Solanaceae. The record is from RNAcentral.